Molecule: long non-coding RNA, 243 nt
Filed under: Mytilus galloprovincialis (Mediterranean mussel)
Lineage: Eukaryota; Metazoa; Mollusca; Bivalvia; Mytilida; Mytilidae
Source: RNAcentral
GUUGCCCUUUUAUGUUAUUAUGUUAUACAAGUUCAGAUCAUUUGAAAACACAUAUUAAACAGCCAAAUGGAUGCACAAGAGCUAAAAUAGGAGUCAUAGAUCCUGUUGGCAACAAUUAUCUGGCUAAUUUUAUUGAUUUUGUAACAUUUGUUUCAAAUAUGACCAACUUCUUAUCCAAAAUCACCAGCACCGUAUCAGGACCCACCAGCACAAUGACAGGACCCACCAGCACAGUAUCAGGAC